Molecule: RNA transcript, 3506 nt
Organism: Ricinus communis (castor bean)
Lineage: Eukaryota; Viridiplantae; Streptophyta; Magnoliopsida; Malpighiales; Euphorbiaceae
Gene name: probable xyloglucan endotransglucosylase/hydrolase protein 23
Exons: 2
Source: RefSeq, a predicted model, not a curated record
UUUGAUUCGUUUAGUGCUAUUUUACAGCUAUAUUUUUAUUCCUCCAAAAUCCAAACACCUGUGCACAGCUUAGCCCACUGUGUCUUCCCAUGCAAUUUCCUUUCCCUUUGUUUUUCCUUUUCUUUUCUUUUCUUUUGUUUUCCCGUACUAUAUAUUCCUACCAGUACAUACUCUUCUAGACAUACACACAGAUAUCCAUUUCUCAGCUUUCCAAAACUAACUGAAAUACAACAAAUAUCGAAUGGCUUCUUCAAAUUAUGUACUACUUCUUCUGGCCUCUUUGAUGGCUGCUUCUGCCAGCAAUUUCUAUAAUGAUUUUGAUAUUACAUGGGGAGAUGGUCGUGCUAAGAUACUCAGCAAUGGUGAACUUCUUACCCUUGAUAAAGCUUCAGGCUCAAGAUUUCAGUCCAAGAAUGAGUAUCUUUUUGGAAAGAUUGAUAUGCAAAUCAAACUUGUUCCUAGAAACUCUGCUGGCACUGUCACUGCCUAUUAUGUUUUCUGUUGAGCUGUGGUGGAAGGUAAAUUUAGCGAUGGUCAUGUAACUAAGUACAUAGGUGGUCAUAUUAUACCUAGUGGUUGGAGGGAUUAUGGGGAUAUGAAGUGGGUAGAUGUUGUGGCUAGUGUAAAGUAGUUAGGGUUUGGGACAGUUAAGAAGAUUGGGUAGUUUAAGUGUAGAAUUCUACUUGAAAGUUUCAAGCAUUAGUAAAGAAUAAUGCAGAAUUGAAAAUAAUGUGGGAUGAUGGGGCUGAUUUUAGUUUCUUAAAAGUUUUUAUAGAAACUGGUAUGGAAGAGUUUGAUACUUGUUAUAAUAUAAGGAGAUGAUGGGGAUAAUGAGGAGACAAAUGAUGGAUGUAGUAAUAAUGUAGAUAGUGAGCAACCUGUUGAAGUACAUAUUGAUGAACCUCAUGCAAUGCAUAUUUAUGAAGGUGGUAAGGAUGCUACUGAAGUGGAAUUGGAUCCACAUAUUAAGUUUGAAGAUGAAAGUGAUAAUGAAGCUAGCUUGUUGAAUGAUUCAGAUAAAGAGGAUGAGGAGUUUAUGUUGGCAAUGAAGAAUAAAAAAGCUUUUAAGACUACUGUAGUUGAUCAUAGUAAUGGUUUAGGGUUAAAUGACUUAUUAGAACAUAGCAGACAUGAUGUGGAUACAAGUGCAAGGGAAUUUCGAGCUAUCAAUGAAGAUCGGGGUAGGAAUGAUGGUGAAGUAGUUAGUGAAUAUUCUGAUUUUAGUGAGGAGGGUUAUGAAACUCCUUAUACAAGUGAUAAAGGGGAUUUGGAAAUUAAUCUAAAUAGAAAGAAGAAAAAAAUAUAGUGUACAAUUCUAAAUAUGAUCAUAAGACUAUAGGAUUUGUGUUUGGAAUGAUUUUGAGUCUGUUGCUUAAAUGAAUGUUGUUCAACUAUAUGGCAUAAGUAAUGGGUUUGAUAUUCUUUGGCCUAGCUCAAGUAAGAAAAGAUUAGAAGCCAAGUUUUUUAGAAAUUGCAAAUAGGGUGUUUAGAGUGCCAAGAAGCAAACUAAGUCUACCUUUACUAUUUGAAGAAUAAAUAAUAAGCACAUUUCUUUUAGGAGAGAUACAAAUAGACAAGCAAAAUCUAGGAAUAUUUACUGCAAGUUAGUGAUUUUUAUACAACCUUUUUGGUUUUACAUUUAUUAGCUUCGAUGAAUGAUUCAUUAUGUGUCUUUGAACUGUGCAGAUGCUAGGUGAAUCUAGAGUGAAUUUUGUAAAUGGUUUACAAGCAACUAAAUUUGUAGUUAGAAGGUGCAUGUUAAUCCUAGGUCUCAACAAACUCAGAUAGCAAACACCUCUCAGCCAUUAGGGACUCAAAGUCCAUAGAGUUCUAUCAAUUCCAAAUCUACAUCCACCCAAGCAACUGCAUUAAAACUAGUGAAUAAUGCAACCAAGUCGAAGAGGAAAGGUAAAUACUAAUGAAGCAAUUAGGCUAUUUUUUGUGGUUGUUCUAUGCUAAUAGGCAAAAUACUAUGGUGCCUUUUAUGGUCUUUUUACAGUAACUGGUAGUAAAUUAGGAUGUUUUUGUGGAUAUUCUAUGCCAAUAGGAAAAAUACUAUGGUGCCUUUUAUGGAUUUUUUGUGAUUGGUAGUCAAUUAGGUUUUUUUUUGUCGUUAUUCUAUGCCAAUCAGCAAAAUAAUAUUGUGUCUUUUAUGGUCUUUUUCGAUGAUUGGUAGUCAAUUAAGAUAUUUUUUGUGGCUAUUCUAUACCAAUAAUGACUAUUCUGGCAGCCUAUUAAAUUUUACAAAGCAUUUUUUCAGUAUUUGAACUAUCAAUUUGAUUCCAAAUUAUGUGUCAAUAUCAUUUUCUAUUUUUGUAAUACUAACUAUUAAAUUCAAUAAGCAUAUUGCUUAUUCAUAUCCAAAAUCAAAAGAAAGCAAAAAUCCUCUAAUAUUCAAUUAUGUUCAACACAAAUACAUCCAAAGCAAGUACAACACUUGUUUUUGCUUCAAUGGCAUAGCUUGCAUACACACAAUUAAAGCUACAACAACAAAACACAUUACAAUUAUAAAUUUUGUAUCCCUUGCAUCUUUAUAAAUGAUGUCCCUCUAUAAAUUGCUUAUCUGUUGACUAAGCAUUAGUUUUUCUUCCUUCAAAUGACAUAAACAUUGCUUUAACAUUCUUUUUCUUUAAUAAUAGCUCUUCAUUAGCAUUGGUUUGCUUGUAAAUCAUCUCAAAAACUAUUUUAUCCAUAAAAGAACCUUUUAGAUAAUAUCAUUAAAGCAUGUUACAAGUUCCUUUCCUCUCAAAAAGAACCCUUCUAUUAAGGGUUUUUCUGGUUGUUGAAGUAUAAUAUCAUAACUCAAUAUUGUGCUUGAAACAAUAUCUCACUCCACUUCUAGAUGAAGUCACUAAGGCUAAACUAGUAGAAUCCAUGGCAUCCAACUUUCUGUUACCCUUGUACAACUAAUAAGCCAAAAACCCUAACUAGAAAACCUCUUACCUAAAUAAGACCUUAGCUACAUAAAUCUGUUGCUAUCCCUUCCCUUUGGUUAUAACAACGAUCAAAGACGAGAGAGAGAAAGAAUUACUUUUAUUGAGAAGAAAAAUUUGCAAUUGCUUAGAAAAUUGAAAAUUUGCAACUUUUGAAAAAGAGAAUGACUGAGAGACUACAUAGAGAGAAGAAUUGAGUAAAUUAGGUUUAAGUUCUUUUUAUUUUUUUAUUCAUAACUCUAGUAAACAAGCUAACUCAAAUUGGUCUGAUGUUGACGUGGGCUCGAUAAGCCUACACUAAUCACAUGCCCACAUGGAUGUCGACUCAGCUGCCAGAUCAGUUUAAUUUUGACCAGGAGAGGAGGUAGGCUAAAAUUGCACUUCAGUAUCGCAAACUCGGCCUAUUUUAACAUUUUUAAAAGUUUGGGCCAAAAUCAAACUAACACGCAAGGAUUUGAAUUUUAAUUACUAUUAGGUCUAUAUUUUAUUAAUUGAUAGUUUACUAUUUCUAACUUUUUUUAAAAAACUUUCUUAAGAAGAAAAGAGAAUUAAAAUAUUAAUAUUUUUUGAAUA